GAAAUGCGAUAAGUAAUGUGAAUUGCAGAAUUCAGUGAACCAUCGAAUCUUUGAACGCACCUUGCGCUCCUUGGUAUUCCUUGGAGCAUGCCUGUUUGAGUAUCAUGAAAUCUUCAAAGUAAAUCUUUUGUUAACUCAAUUGGUUUCUACUUUGGUAUUGGAGGUCUUUGCAGCUUCACACCUGCUCCUCUUUGUUCAUUAGCUGGAUCUCAGUGUUAUGCUUGGUUCCACUCGGCGUGAUAAGUUAUCUAUCGCUGAGGACACUGUAAAAGGUGGCCAAGGUAAAUGCAGAUGAACCGCUUCUAAUAGUCCAUUGACUUGGACAAUACUUUUAUGAUCUGAUCUCAAAUCAGGUAGGACUACCCGCUGAACUUAAGC
This 378-nucleotide unclassified non-coding RNA is filed under the name plant metagenome. RNAcentral's name for it is "partial contains 5.8S ribosomal RNA, internal transcribed spacer 2, and large subunit ribosomal RNA". The stretch from base 1 to 105 matches the Rfam family "5.8S ribosomal RNA", at positions 50 to 154 of the family's 154-position model. The record is from RNAcentral.